CCCCCCGCCUCCUCCCAAACCCCAAAAUCCCCCGCCAUGGGCGUCCUCCACGUGCGACUAGGAGGUCACGAGCCCUGCGGCGACGGCGAUACACUGUUCCGACGCGAUCCCGGCAGUCGUGAGGCCGACGUCGGCGGCGGGAGACGGCUCCGACGCGAGCCCGGUGGUGAUCGACACGAGAUCGUCGGAGGAGGCUCAGGAGGGGGUGGCCACCACGCCGGCGGUAGCGGUGAUUCGAGGGCGGGAGGCGGCGGAGGCACCCAUAGCGGUGAGCGAGGCCAAGGCCGAAGCAGCAACUGCGGAGGCCCAAGAACUGGAGACGAACCGGCAAGAAUCAACCGCCGCGGCGGAGAGCACGGGAACGAGAGCAGAUUCGUGUCAGGCCCCACGGGCGAUGCAAGAGAUCAAAAGGGAGGGAACAAGCCCUUUGCAGGCAUAAAGAUCCUGCUGCUCGAUUACUCAAUUGCUGAGGACCAGAAUCUACAAGACUAUGAACAUAUGGUGGAAGUGCUUGGAGGUGUACCUUGCAAUCCUGCAGAGUACAGCAGCUCGACUCACAUUGCUGUCAUGGUAUGUAUUGUUUCUAUUAAGUAUUAACAAUUUAACAUCUAUAUUUCUCGAGAGAUCAUACUUGUGCCGCUGUAUGUCCGUGCUACUCUAGAACUUCUCAUCCAAUUCUCUUUCACAUGAGCCAUCAGUUAAGUGUGUAGUAUAUAUAUUAUAUAACAAAAGGCUGCUCUAGCAUCAGUUCAUAUGAGGCCCAUGUAGUAUUGCUGUAUGAACACUAAGAAAUAGACAAGCUGAAAAUUCAGAAUUUCCCUUUCUCUAAAAGUCUGCAGCUUCCAAGUACACACACGCUGCAUAUGUGAACAUGAUAGUCAAAACUGCUGCAGGCAGGACCAAUGAUCCAUGAGGAAUUAUUCAUUGCCUUUUUUACUCCUUACAGUACUGGUCUACCAUGAGUAAUGUAGUGUAGCAUCGAACAUGGCCAAGGAAACAAUGCCUUGGAAACAAAAUUCGUCGAAGACCAAAUGAGUCCACAGGUCCUAUGACAGUGGCAAAACAGUACAUCGACCUUAGCUAGAAUUCAUAGGACAGCGCAUAUUAUAUGAGCAAGUUCAUGUGGGGGGCUUCUUCCCUUUUCAUCGACAAAAACAUUUCUACCCAGGUAUGUUAUAUCCUGUUUUAAAUUUCCAUUUUUCUGCACAAAAGUUAAAUUAAAUCAACGCGAUGUGACUUCACAAUUCGCUAGUAAUAUAAUGUUGUUAAUUUGGAACGUUUUGCAGGGAACAUUCCAGCAGGGGCUCGGCUCAUUUGGGAAAAUGACUUAAAAGAAGUUGCUAAUGCAGACUGGAUCUCCAAAUGUAUGGAAGUAUGGAAAUUGUUGCCUAUAGAAGGAAAAGGCUGUAAUGAUCAGGCAACAAUUUCCAUACUUCCAUAGGCAAAACGUUCAUAGGGAGUUGAGUAUUUUCAUCCAAGGAAAAGGCUGUAAUGAUCAGGCAACAAUUUCCAUACUUCCAUAGGGAAAAUUGUUGUACUAAUUGCUUGGUAGAAAAUACUCAACUCCUCAGAGAAGUUCUUCAACAUCAAUCAUCAGGAAAUGUGUCUCUACAAUCUGCAAGCAAUCGGAAUUCAAUUCCGGAAACAACCUUAGAAGUGGUGUCAAAAGAAGGCUUGUUUUCCAUAGAUACAUGCACUGUGCUUAUGAAUCGGAAGAGGUUGAAUGUUUGUACGACUAUUCACUGAGAUUUAGACUGCAUGAGCUGACGCAAGUUCCUGGAUGCUCUCUGACUUUGAAACUUGCAAAACUGACAACAAAAGUGGUUAUUUUGAGGUGUUAUUCUCAGCUUGCUAAACUGCAUGAAGACGGGUUUUCCUUGGGUGGUUGCUUCACAUUGAGGAAUUUUAUGAUAUUUGCUGAUGAUACAAUCAAAGUUACCAAUCUAGCAGAUGGUGCGAUACUCAGUUUCUCUGAUAGUAACGGAGACCUUGAUUACUGGCAGUUUGUGAAAAUGGUACAAGACGAGGUCUUUUUAAAACAGGCAGUUCCUGAUGAUUUACACGAGUGGCUGAGGAUAGUCUCACGGGGUAUUAAGGCAUGUCACCGUAAUCUUCUAGCUAACCACAUCCAUUUGAUGGAGGCAUUUCAAGGCUAUGGCACAUUUGUCUCAAUGUACCAGCAAUUUCGUACUAUUGAAGGGAGUGAUGGUUGGGCUGAUCUUCUAAAUUCACUUGGCCACUAUUUUUUUGUGAGGAAUCAGCGGGGGGGGGGACUCUCCCCACCUGAAUUUCAUAACUCAAAGAGAAGUUUUACAUAUUCGUGAGUCGCGAGGACAGGUAAUUCCGCCAAGACAUCUAUGAUGGCUUUCUUUAGCCGAUGAGCCCAAAGGGACGAGACAUCUAUGAUGUUCUUUAAAAUUACAUUAGGCGGCAAAAACUGACCACGGAAAACAACACUAUUUCUAGAAUCCCAAAUCAUCCAAAGAAUGGACAGCAGCAUUCCAUGCCAAAUGGAGGACGGCAGAUCAGGAGGCGGAAUGACAGACCAUCGUGAUGAGGAAGCCACGAGCGUGGCACCAAUAGCAGUCCAAACUUGAAGGCUAGUAGAGCAACCGAAGAAAAGAUGAUGGCAUGAUUCAGUGCUGGCAGAACAUCUCGGGCAAGCCUCAUCUGAAAUAAUGUUCUUGCGGAACAGGUUUCUUCGUGUGUUAAGACGAUCCUUGUACAGCAGCCAACCGAAGAUCUUGACUUUAAUUGGAACGUGGCUUGACAAGAUGAUAGACGCAUCAAUGUCCAGCGCACCGGGGCAGAGGAUGCGGUAGGCAUUCUUGGUGGAGAAGGGCUUUCCAUCAAUGAGAGUCCGGGCGUCAGGUACCUGAGAGAGACAAAAAUCCUGCAACAGAGUGGAUAUGGACUGAAGCUCAGAAGCAGCAGCCACUGUGAGUCUAUUCCGCAAGGGUAAAUUUAGACCUUCAUUAAGCGCAACAUUAACUCUUUGGAAGGGAGCAGUACUAUGGGAAAAAAUAGCUGGGUAUAGAACAGACAAAGGCUCGUGAAGAAUCCAUCUAUCUAACCAGAAGGAGGAUUUCCCAUUACCCACAUUGACAGAAGUAAUUGCUCUAAGAAUUGGGAGGUAGUUCUUUAUAAUCACUUUAAGGAGGGAGGUGGCAUUAGAUGCAGCUUCUAACUCACAGGAGGUUUUUGACGCCUAAACCACCAAUAUUUUUAGGUUUUGAAAUUGAGUCCCAUGCCACCAAACAUUGAGAUCCAGAGCACGUAUCGUCUUGAGUCCAAAAGAAAGCACGACGUUCCUUGUCAAAGCACUCGGUGGUCAGCAUGUUUAGGUCAAAGGCUGACAUGCAGUAUGUAGGGAGGCAGUCGAGGACCGAGGAAACCAAGGUCAGGCGACCACCUUUUGAGAGCAAGCAAGCGCGCCAGCCGGAAAGGUAGGAACCGCAUUUGUCAAUAAGUGGAGCGAACGCCGAACUAUGCAGUUUGAGAGGUGAAAGGGGCAAGCCAAGAUAAGUUUGGGGGAAGGAUGAGAUGGAGCAAUUUAGGGAGGUUGCCAUACUUGCAGCUAGGGCAGUCCAAGCCCCUGACGUGUUCUUAUCUCGCGGAGUCAUUUCCCCUCAAUGAAUAUGAAGACAACAUCAAAGGUUUAUUGAGGCUCGUCCGCAAUACUUUCCAGCACAAGGCAAAGAGAUUCCUCAGAUUUUUCCUAUCAUUUAUAAUCAUUGACUUCCCAGGCUUAUUGUCUGAUCUGCAGAGGGCGUUGCAUCUAGGCGGGUACCUCAGUCAUCUGAAUCUUAGGAAUUAGUGUGAGCCUUGCUAUCGAGCAUGUUGUAGUCAGGCUUUAAGAAGGGAGUACAUCUAGUGGAUACGUGAGUCAUCUAACUCUGCUGUACAAAUUUGUGUAAAGUGAGAGGAUUAACUUGUACAAAUUAGGCUAUUAGAAUUGAGCUGUUCAAUUUUCUGGAAACGAGCAUAACAUGCUGUAACUGAUUCCUUGUUAAUAAUGCUGGUUUGUGGCAGCAAAUGUUAGUACGAUUGAAGUUUUUUGGAACAA
This is an RNA transcript of Brachypodium distachyon (stiff brome), 4066 nucleotides long. It is a transcript of the gene named keratin, type I cytoskeletal 9, with no coding region annotated. The record is from RefSeq and is a predicted model, not a curated record. The transcript has 4 exons. NCBI's taxonomy places the organism in Eukaryota, Viridiplantae, Streptophyta, Magnoliopsida, Poales, Poaceae.